Molecule: ribosomal RNA, 1536 nt
Filed under: uncultured bacterium
Lineage: Bacteria
Description: bacterial SSU rRNA
Rfam family: Bacterial small subunit ribosomal RNA
Source: RNAcentral
GAGUUUGAUCCUGGCUCAGGACGAACGCUGGCGGCGUGCCUAAUACAUGCAAGUCGAGCGAGCGGAACUAACAGAUUUACUUCUGUAAUGACGUUAGGAAAGCGAGCGGCGGAUGGGUGAGUAACACGUGGGGAACCUGCCCCAUAGUCUGGGAUACCACUUGGAAACAGGUGCUAAUACCGGAUAAGAAAGCAGAUCGCAUGAUCAGCUUUUAAAAGGCGGCGUAAGCUGUCGCUAUGGGAUGGCCCCGCGGUGCAUUAGCUAGUUGGUAAGGUAAAGGCUUACCAAGGCGAUGAUGCAUAGCCGAGUUGAGAGACUGAUCGGCCACAUUGGGACUGAGACACGGCCCAAACUCCUACGGGAGGCAGCAGUAGGGAAUCUUCCACAAUGGACGCAAGUCUGAUGGAGCAACGCCGCGUGAGUGAAGAAGGUUUUCGGAUCGUAAAGCUCUGUUGUUGGUGAAGAAGGAUAGAGGUAGUAACUGGCCUUUAUUUGACGGUAAUCAACCAGAAAGUCACGGCUAACUACGUGCCAGCAGCCGCGGUAAUACGUAGGUGGCAAGCGUUGUCCGGAUUUAUUGGGCGUAAAGCGAGCGCAGGCGGAAGAAUAAGUCUGAUGUGAAAGCCCUCGGCUUAACCGAGGAACUGCAUCGGAAACUGUUUUUCUUGAGUGCAGAAGAGGAGAGUGGAACUCCAUGUGUAGCGGUGGAAUGCGUAGAUAUAUGGAAGAACACCAGUGGCGAAGGCGGCUCUCUGGUCUGCAACUGACGCUGAGGCUCGAAAGCAUGGGUAGCGAACAGGAUUAGAUACCCUGGUAGUCCAUGCCGUAAACGAUGAGUGCUAAGUGUUGGGAGGUUUCCGCCUCUCAGUGCUGCAGCCAACGCAUUAAGCACUCCGCCUGGGGAGUACGACCGCAAGGUUGAAACUCAAAGGAAUUGACGGGGGCCCGCACAAGCGGUGGAGCAUGUGGUUUAAUUCGAAGCGACGCGAAGAACCUUACCAGGUCUUGACAUCUAGUGCCAUUUGUAGAGAUACAAAGUUCCCUUCGGGGACGCUAAGACAGGUGGUGCAUGGCUGUCGUCAGCUCGUGUCGUGAGAUGUUGGGUUAAGUCCCGCAACGAACGCAACCCUUGUUAUUAGUUGCCAGCAUUAAGUUGGGCACUCUAAUGAGACUGCCGGUGACAAACCGGAGGAAGGUGGGGAUGACGUCAAGUCAUCAUGCCCCUUAUGACCUGGGCUACACACGUGCUACAAUGGGCAGUACAACGAGAAGCGAGCCUGCGAAGGCAAGCGAAUCUCUGAAAGCUGUUCUCGGUUCGGACUGCAGUCUGCAACUCGACUGCACGAAGCUGGAAUCGCUAGUAAUCGCGGAUCAGCACGCCGCGGUGAAUACGUUCCCGGGCCUUGUACACACCGCCCGUCACACCAUGGGAGUCUGCAAUGCCCAAAGCCGGUGGCCUAACCUUCGGGAAGGAGCCGUCUAAGGCAGGGCAGAUGACUGGGGUGAAGUCGUAACAAGGUAGCCGUACGGCUACCU